Molecule: ribosomal RNA, 402 nt
Filed under: bacterium
Lineage: Bacteria
Description: partial 16S ribosomal RNA
Rfam family: Bacterial small subunit ribosomal RNA
Source: RNAcentral
UGGGGAAUUUUGCACAAUGGGGGAAACCCUGAUGCAGCGACGCCGCGUGACUUAGAAGGCCUUCGGGUUGUAAAAAUCUUUUCUAUGGGAAGAAAAUGACAGUACCAUAGGAAUAAGGACCGGCUAAUUACGUGCCAGCAGCCGCGGUAAUACGUAAGGUCCGAGCGUUGUCCGGAAUCAUUGGGCGUAAAGGGUACGUAGGCGGGGAAGCAAGUUAGCAGUGAAAUCCUAUAGCUCAACUAUAGUAAGAUUUUAAAACUGCUCAUCUUGAGGUAUGGAAGGGAAAGUGGAAUUCCUAGUGUAGCUGUGAAAUGCACAGAUAUUAGGAGGAAUACCGGUGGCGAAGGCGACUUUCUGGCCAUACCCUGACGCUGAGGUACGAAAGCGUGGGUAGCAAACAGG